This 443-nucleotide ribosomal RNA is filed under the name uncultured bacterium. Its description in RNAcentral is "partial 16S ribosomal RNA". It matches the Rfam family "Bacterial small subunit ribosomal RNA", at positions 338 to 795 of the family's 1533-position model. The record is from RNAcentral.
CCUACGGGUGGCAGCAGUAGGGAAUCUUUCACAAUGGGCGAAAGCCUGAUGGAGCAACGCCGCGUGCAGGAUGAAGGCCUUCGGGUUGUAAACUGCUUUUAUAAGCGAGAAAUAUGAUGGGAACUUAUGAAUAAGGAUCGGCUAACAACGUGCCAGCAGCCGCGGUCAUACGUAGGAUCAGAGCAUUAUCCGGAGUGACUGGGUGUAAAGAGUUGCGUAGUUGGCAUAAUAAAUAGCUAGUGAAAUCUGGUGGCUCCACCAUUCAGACUAUUAGCUAAACUGUUAAGCUCGAGACCGGUAGGGGUAACUGGAAUUUCCAGGGUAGGGGUGAAAUGCGUAGAUAUUAGAAGGAAAACCCAGAGCGUAGGCAGGUUACUGGGACGGUUCUGACACUAAGGCACGAAAGCGUAGGGAGCAAACGAGAUUAGAUAACCCUGGUAGUC